Molecule: ribosomal RNA, 433 nt
Filed under: uncultured bacterium
Lineage: Bacteria
Description: partial 16S ribosomal RNA
Rfam family: Bacterial small subunit ribosomal RNA
Source: RNAcentral
AACGAACGCUGGCGGCAUGCCUAACACAUGCAAGUCGAACGAGACCUUCGGGUCUAUUGUCGCACGGGGGCGUAACGCGUGGGAAUCUACCCUCAGGUUCGGAAUAACUCAGAGAAAUUUGAGCUAAUACCGGAUGAUGACGUAAGUCCAAAGAUUUAUCGCCUGAGGAUGAGCCCGCGUAGGAUUAGGUAGUUGGUGAGGUAAAGGCUCACCAAGCCGACGAUUCUUAGCUGGUCUGAGAGGAUGAUCAGCCACACUGGGACUGAGACACGGCCCAGACUCCUACGGGAGGCAGCAGUGGGGAAUAGUGGACAAUGGGCGAAAGCCUGAUCCAGCAAUGCCGGGUGAGUGAUGAAGGCCUUAGGGUUGUAAAGCUCUUUUACCCGGGAUGAUAAUGACGGUACCGGGAGAAUAAGCUCCGGCUAACUACGUG